GAUGAAGAACGUAGCGAAAUGCGAUAAGUAAUGUGAAUUGCAGAAUUCAGUGAAUCAUCGAAUCUUUGAACGCACAUUGCGCCCUCUGGUAUUCCGGGGGGCAUGCCUGUUCGAGCGUCAUUAUAACCACUCAAGCUCUCGCUUGGUAUUGGGGCUCGCGGUUCCGCGGCCCCUAAAAUCAGUGGCGGUGCCUGUCGGCUCUACGCGUAGUAAUACUCCUCGCGAUUGAGUCCGGUAGGUCUACUUGCCAGCAACCCCCAAUUUUUACAGGUUGACCUCGGAUCAGGUAGGAAUACCCGCUGAACUUAAGCAUAUCAAUAAGCGGAGGA
This 329-nucleotide unclassified non-coding RNA is filed under the name soil metagenome. RNAcentral's name for it is "partial contains 5.8S ribosomal RNA, internal transcribed spacer 2, and large subunit ribosomal RNA". The stretch from base 1 to 120 matches the Rfam family "5.8S ribosomal RNA", at positions 35 to 154 of the family's 154-position model. The record is from RNAcentral.